Molecule: ribosomal RNA, 787 nt
Filed under: Streptomyces sp.
Lineage: Bacteria; Bacillati; Actinomycetota; Actinomycetes; Kitasatosporales; Streptomycetaceae
Description: bacterial SSU rRNA
Rfam family: Bacterial small subunit ribosomal RNA
Source: RNAcentral
ACCAUGCAAGUCGACGAUGAAGCCCUUCGGGGUGGAUUAGUGGCGAACGGGUGAGUAACACGUGGGCAAUCUGCCCUUCACUCUGGGACAAGCCCUGGAAACGGGGUCUAAUACCGGAUAACACUUUCCUCUGCAUGGGGGAAGGUUGAAAGCUCCGGCGGUGAAGGAUGAGCCCGCGGCCUAUCAGCUUGUUGGUGGGGUGAUGGCCCACCAAGGCGACGACGGGUAGCCGGCCUGAGAGGGCGACCGGCCACACUGGGACUGAGACACGGCCCAGACUCCUACGGGAGGCAGCAGUGGGGAAUAUUGCACAAUGGGCGAAAGCCUGAUGCAGCGACGCCGCGUGAGGGAUGACGGCCUUCGGGUUGUAAACCUCUUUCAGCAGGGAAGAAGCGAAAGUGACGGUACCUGCAGAAGAAGCGCCGGCUAACUACGUGCCAGCAGCCGCGGUAAUACGUAGGGCGCAAGCGUUGUCCGGAAUUAUUGGGCGUAAAGAGCUCGUAGGCGGCUUGUCGCGUCGGAUGUGAAAGCCCGGGGCUUAACCCCGGGUCUGCAUUCGAUACGGGCAGGCUAGAGUGUGGUAGGGGAGAUCGGAAUUCCUGGUGUAGCGGUGAAAUGCGCAGAUAUCAGGAGGAACACCGGUGGCGAAGGCGGAUCUCUGGGCCAUUACUGACGCUGAGGAGCGAAAGCGUGGGGAGCGAACAGGAUUAGAUACCCUGGUAGUCCACGCCGUAAACGUUGGGAACUAGGUGUUGGCGACAUUCCACGUCGUCGGUGCCGCAGCUAA